Molecule: transfer RNA, 66 nt
Filed under: Entomovelia sp. YC-2015
Lineage: Eukaryota; Metazoa; Arthropoda; Insecta; Hemiptera; Veliidae
Description: tRNA-Ile
Source: RNAcentral
AAUAAGAUGCCUGAUUAAAAGGACUACCUUGAUAGAAUAGAUCAUGUAAUUAUAUUACUCUUAUUA